RNAcentral lists this ribosomal RNA (460 nucleotides) under uncultured bacterium. Its description in RNAcentral is "partial 16S ribosomal RNA". It matches the Rfam family "Bacterial small subunit ribosomal RNA", at positions 338 to 795 of the family's 1533-position model. The record is from RNAcentral.
CCUACGGGAGGCAGCAGUGAGGAAUAUUGGUCAAUGGGCGGAAGCCUGAACCAGCCAAGUCGCGUGAGGGAAUAAGGUCCUACGGGUCGUAAACCUCUUUUGCCGGGGAGCAAGGGCGGGGACGUGUCCCGGCCCGGAGAGUACCCGGAGAAAAAGCUUCGGCAAACUCCGUGCCAGAAGCCGCGGUAAUACGGGGGAUGCGAGCGUUAUCCGGAUUUUUUGGGUUUAAAGGGUGCGUAGGCGGGCUUUUAAGUCAGCGGUAAAAAUUCGGGGCUCAACCCCGUCCGGCCGUUGAAACUGGGGGCCUUGAGUGGGCGAGAAGAAGGCGGAAUGCGUGGUGUAGCGGUGAAAUGCAUAGAUAUCACGCAGAACCCCGAUUGCGAAGGCAGCCUUCCGGCGCCCUACUGACGCUGAGGCACGAAAGUGCGGGGAUCGAACAGGAUUAGAUACCCCAGUAGUC